AACGAACGCUGGCGGCAUGCCUAACACAUGCAAGUCGAACGAUGCCUUCGGGCGUAGUGGCGCACGGGUGCGUAACGCGUGGGAAUCUGCCUUUCGGUUCGGAAUACCUCAGGGAAACUUGAGCUAAUACCGGAUAACGUCGCAAGACCAAAGAUUUAUCACCGAAAGAUGAGCCCGCGUAGGAUUAGCUAGUUGGUGAGGUAAAGGCUCACCAAGGCGACGAUCCUUAGCUGGUCUGAGAGGAUGAUCAGCCACACUGGGACUGAGACACGGCCCAGACUCCUACGGGAGGCAGCAGUGGGGAAUACUGGACAAUGGGCGAAAGCCUGAUCCAGCAAUGCCGCGUGAGUGAUGAAGGCCUUAGGGUUGUAAAGCUCUUUUACCCGGGAAGAUAAUGACGGUACCGGGAGAAUAAGCCCCGGCUAACUCCGUG
Molecule: ribosomal RNA, 433 nt
Filed under: uncultured bacterium
Lineage: Bacteria
Description: partial 16S ribosomal RNA
Rfam family: Bacterial small subunit ribosomal RNA
Source: RNAcentral